RNAcentral lists this long non-coding RNA (4962 nucleotides) under Homo sapiens (human). RNAcentral's name for it is "HSALNT0321743". Lineage: Eukaryota; Metazoa; Chordata; Mammalia; Primates; Hominidae. The record is from RNAcentral.
GUACAAAGCAAACUUCUAAUGCACUGCUGGUUUACAUUUCCUGUAUUUUCAGUCUAAACAAAAAUAAAAAGAACAAAACAGCUAAAAUGAUGAGGGAAAGCACAGAUCAUUCCUAAACAGUCAAUUCUAGAGCCAGUCCUUCAGUUCAAGAAUAACUCAACAGCCUAGAGAGAAGAAAAUAAGAAGCUAUAGUGAACAAAAGAAGAAAAAUGAAAAGGUGACCACCAGGAGAAUGAAGUAUAUUGGAGAAGUAAGUAUCCUUGUAAAAUCUCUUUUAAAAUGAUAAUUAUCAUAUCAAUAACUAUUAUUAUUCUUCAUCAUCAUUAUUUUAAUUAUCAUCAUCAUUAUUUUAAGAGUAGGAGCCAGGAAAAAAUCCAAAAUGGUUAAGCAAUUUGUCAGAGUUCAUAAAUUCAGACUUACACUAGUUAAUAUAGAGAAAGAGAAGUAGAAAAACUACUUCUAAAUCAACAAAUACCUGAUACCUUAUUUAACUCCUUGAAAUUUUUAGGUUUUCCUGAUGGUUACUUUAAGUGAAAAAUGAGCAUUAGAUUUAUUAAAGUUACAUGAUACUAUGUUUGUUUCUUACUCUAUAAGAAAUGUUGAUAAAUUUUUAGUUCCUGAACUCAAUAAAUAAAGAUUGAAUACCUUCUCCAUCAGAGGCACCCUUAGCAGUAUAUGGGCGACAAACUUACAUAGGUUAGUAACUGUCAUAGGAGCUUACAAUCUAGUAGAAGACUGAAACAGAAUGAAUAAUGUGUUUAAAUUACAUGGACUAUUUGGGUAGAGUCUAGUGCAGAGACUGCCAGUUGUCCUUCAAUAAUUCUCCUCCCCUUCUGUUUGUCUGGACAUAUAUGGCCACCCAGAAUAAAGACCACAUUUCUCAGCCACCCUAGUGGCUUAGUAUUGCCAUCUGGCUAAGUUCUAGACAACAGGAUGUAAGAGUAAAUGUCUGUGAUGGCUUCUAGUAACCUUCCUAAGAGACAGGUGAUACAUGCUGUCUGUCCCUUCUUUCCCAGUCCCCCAUCCUACUGUUUAAAAUGUGGAUAUAAUGACUGGAGCUGCAUCCUUGACCCUGAAGGAAAGGGCCAUAUCCUAGGGAUGUAAGGUAGAAAGUCCAAAGGUGUCUUGGUCCCCAAGGUCUUUGUGGAGCACAGCUACAGCACCGAGCCUGAGCUGGCUACCUCUGGGCUUUUACAGGAGAGAGUAAUAAUACUGUGUUCUUGUUUAAGCUAUUUUUAUUUUGGGUUUUCAUGAUCCACAGUUAAGCCUAAUCCUAAGUGAUACGGUGUAACAAUGCAAGCACCACACGUGUGGAGAAGAUGGACAGGUAGCACCUAAAUGGAGUGGAAUAGGGAAGAGGUAGCAUUAGAGAAAUGAAUUCACAGUUGGUUCAGAAUUUUUAAAGGAGAGACAUCAGGAAUGAAAGGUAGAGUAUUCCAGGCAGGAAAAAACAAAACAAAACGAAACAGUAUAAAACACAUUGCUGACAUGGAAGAGUUCUAUGUGUAACUGGGAAACACUAAAUAGUUACAGAUUGUCAAGAAUAAAAUGAUGAUUUCAGGCUGAAAAUGUUAGGCUAGGACAGAUAGUGAAAGAUUUUGAAAGUGUAAUACAAGGAAUAUGGAUCUCAUUCUUUUACUGAUGGGAAUAUUAUAGUGUCCUUUAGAAUGUGCCUCAGAGCUCCAAUUGUAGAAAGAGUAGCUGACCAAUGUCUCAAGUUGCUGUGCUCUGGAAGCCAUCAACAAGUUUGCACUGAGGUCACCUCUACCAGGGUUGAUCCCAGAGAAAAAGACUGAGCACACUAGGGACACUAAAGUAGGCCUAAUCCUGGGAGGCCCAGUAUUCUUCUCACAGUAAAUUUCAGCUAGAGGACUUCCCAGCAGCCUUGCCAAACCUUCCUUAGAACUGUUCAGCUGUCUAGGAUACUUCUGUACAACUUUCCUUCCUUCUUCCUCUCCUUAACUCUGGGUCAGACUUUCGUGUUGGUCUGAUGGCUUUCCUGGCUCCUUCCCUCUGGUUCUCACAGGGUGUUUUCUCUAAUAAAUUUCUGCACAUUUAAUCUAAUCUUGGCAUCUGUUUCUUGGAAGACCUGGACUAACUCACACAUCUAAGGCUUUUUGUACAAUGUGUAUCAAUGAACUGUAUAUGAGUGCAUUGUUGGGAUGAGAGAAUUAGGUACGUGGAGCUUGAAAAGAUAAAUUUCUGUGCUUUAGAAUUAAAUGGGAGUCACUGCAGGUAAUGUAAACCAAAGACAAAUAAAAAAAAAAUCAAAGAGACAUGGAAAUAAUAGCUAACACUUACUGAAUGCCAGAAAUUUUCUGAAGCAUUUUAUAUACAUUAUCUUAUUUGAUUCUUAGUACAAUCCUACUACCACUACAGAUGAAGAAACUGAGGCUUUGAGAGAUUAAAUAAUUUACAUGAAGUCUCACAGCUAGUAAGCCCAGUAUGUGGUGCAACUUAAAUACUUACAUUUAAAUACAAUCAAUCUGACUUCUACAUUCUUCUACACUGUAUCCACAAUUUUUUAAAGUAGUAGUCUUUACUUAUUUAAUUACACUUAUAUUUUCUAAUAUGAUAAUCAAUAACAAGUAUAAACUAAUAUGUAUAUUCCAAGAAAGUGACCUAAAAGGAUUAAUUCUAUGUAUUUAUCAUUUUAUGACACAAAUGUGCAUUUGUGAAUGAACAUAAAGUUAAUUAGUAUGGAAUUAUAGCACUAAAAUAUCUACUUCUUAAAGAGCUAACAUAAACGGCACAACAUUAUACUCAUUUUUUUCCUUCUAAUUGGGUGGCUCUUGAAUUGAAGCACAAAAACUCUAAAACUUCCCACCAUGUGGAAAUGAGCCUCCCUUUGGAAAUUCCUGGGCAACUCAACUCCCAAGAGCUUACUAUGCUUUAUCCCUUUUAUGAUAUGCUUCUAAUAAUUAUGUGUAAUGUUCACCCUGAAUAUGUUGUUUUACAUUUAACAUUUCAAAACCAUCUUCAGUAUAUUAAUUUAUGAGGUCAUUAGUGGAUUGGUUGGAAAAAUCUCGAAUGAGCUAUACUUUUUAAUUGAUAAAUAACUUCCUGAAAAGAAUGAUUUGCUUACUGCUAACAUCAAAUUGCCUAGUACUUCAUCAAAUUGAGAGAUGGCAAAGUUUGGAUUGGCAAAGUUUUUAAUAAUGAGAAUUGGAGUCCUAAAUCCUACCAAUAAUCAGUUUUAGGAACAAAAUAAAGAAUUUGCUGGUGAAAAAUAAGUAUCAAUAUUAGUUUUGCCCUUUUUCAAAAUGUUAACAUUACUAAACACCAUUUUAAAUUCAGUUACUGCAAAUUUAGGCCUGUUACCUAAUUUUUAUUAAAAUAAAAAAAAUCUCAGAGGCCUUUUACUGUAUCACUAUAAUAAAAGCUAACUUUACCAUCCCAGCUAAAAACAGUGAAACCCCGUCUCUACUAAAAAUACAAAAAAUUAGCCGGGCGUAGUGGCGGGCGCCUGUAGUCCCAGCUACUUGGGAGGCUGAGGCGGGAGAAUGGCGUGAACCCGGGAGGCGGAGCUUGCAGUGAGCCGAGAUCCCGCCACUGCACUCCAGCCUGGGCGACAGAGCGAGACUCCGUCUCAAAAAAAAAAAAAAAAAAAGCUAACUUUAAAUGUUUAGUUAACAUAAGCUAUUACUGUUGAAAUGAUUUUCAUUAUUGUAAAGUCAAUUAAUAAAUCAGUUAAAAUGAUCCAUGUAAAUUAGUCUCUUUUAAGGUAAUCACACUGACCUAUUUAACCUUUAUAAAAAAUAUCUUUAUACUAAGACUGUCUUGGAAUCAUUAAAUCAAUAAGUGGAAAGAUCCUUUCCAUUUUUCCUACAGAGAGGGAAUGUGGUAUUUAGAAACAAAUAUAUAUAUAGCAAGACAUUUUUGUGUUUUUUUAAAUGCAUAUUUACCAGUAGAGGUCACUAUCACACCAAUUCACUGGAUUUGUCCAGCUACUGCUAAAAGAAAUUAGAGGGCCUGGCUGAAUUUAUAAGAAAAAAAUCAAAAGCCAAUACCUAAAAUAUAAUACACAGGGAUAUGCUGCUGCACAAAUAUUAAAAGAUAAUGUAGAUAAUUCAUCAUUUUGGACUUUUAAUAUGAUUAUCAUACUGAUGUUCCUAUUGUCCCAUGGAGGUAAAGGUAAAUAUAUAAACAGAGAUGCCUAUAUUUCUAUUUAUGUAUAGGAACUCAUUAUUUAUGCAAGCCAAAAAGUAAAAUAUUCAAAUAUUUACAUAUGUCCUACCUAGAAACUUUCUAAAAUCUUCUUUCCAAAAAGGAAAAAAGAUAUUACAGCAUCAUAAAAUUAAAAUAAUAUAUAUUAAUGUGCACAUUUUCAGACAUUUCAAAAGGAUUCAAUACUAACUAAAACAAUGUCAAAUCUGCUAGAAAAUGCAAUGGCACAGGAGCUUAGGACAGAAUAGGUGUGGAGACGGGAUAUAAUCUUCAAUGCAUGAUCAGCAAAGCCAAGAAGGAAAUAAAGGUCAGCAAUUCAAUUAUGACCAUGUGAACCCCAAAUUCCAGGACAUCAGAAAACUCUCUGGUUAGACAAUCCAUGGUUUAUCUCCCUUGACUACUCACUUCAUGCCCAAGUCAGCAGUCAAGGCUUAAAGUCAGGUCUACCUUCUGAGUCAAAUGAAUUCCCCAUCUGCCUCCAAGUUACACCCCACCCUUUGCUAAUUCCUAAAAUCCUUUAAUAGGAGAAAAGGCCCUUCCUUGUACCACAUUGUCAAAAUAAUAGUCUAGUAAUGAGUUUUGAUUUAAAUAUAAAUACUUAACAAAGUAACAACUUUAAGUCACUGUGGUCAAUAGUCUCUCCAUCUUGAUGGAGGACGACUUAGGACCGUAAAUGUGAGAAAAGACAAGAGACAAUAAAAUAAUCUGUAGCUUAUAUUUCUUAAAUCAAACUGGUCAUGAAAUAACUAUUUAGCCAAUAUUAUAUCAUGUGAUAAAGACAAGUAGAGAAUACGU